This 723-nucleotide ribosomal RNA is filed under the name uncultured Fusobacterium sp. RNAcentral's name for it is "bacterial SSU rRNA". It matches the Rfam family "Bacterial small subunit ribosomal RNA", at positions 28 to 776 of the family's 1533-position model. The record is from RNAcentral. Lineage: Bacteria; Fusobacteriati; Fusobacteriota; Fusobacteriia; Fusobacteriales; Fusobacteriaceae.
GAUGAACGCUGACAGACUGCUUAACACAUGCAAGUCGACUCGAGUAUUCGGACUUGGGUGGCGCACGGGUGAGUAACGCGUAAAGAACUUGCCUCUUAGACCGGGACAACAUCUGGAAACGGAUGCUAAUACCGGAUAUUAUGGUUUUUUCGCAUGGAGGAAUCAUGAAAGCUAGAUGCGCUAAGAGAGAGCUAUGCGUCCCAUUAGCUAGUUGGUGAGGUAACGGCCCACCAAGGCAAUGAUGGGUAGCCGGCCUGAGAGGGUGAACGGCCACAAGGGGACUGAGACACGGCCCUUACUCCUACGGGAGGCAGCAGUGGGGAAUAUUGGACAAUGGACCACAAGUCUGAUCCAGCAAUUCUGUGUGCACGAUGACGUUUUUCGGAAUGUAAAGUGCUUUCAGUCGGGAAGAAGUCAGUGACGGUACCGACAGAAGAAGCGACGGCUAAAUACGUGCCAGCAGCCGCGGUAAUACGUAUGUCGCAAGCGUUAUCCGGAUUUAUUGGGCGUAAAGCGCGUCUAGGCGGCAAGGAAAGUCUGAUGUGAAAAUGCGGAGCUCAACUCCGUAUGGCGUUGGAAACUGCCUUACUAGAGUACGGAGAGGUAGGCGGAACUACAAGUGUAGAGGUGAAAUUCGUAGAUAUUUGUAGGAAUGCCGAUGGGGAAGCCAGCCUACUGGACAGAUACUGACGCUAAAGCGCGAAAGCGUGGGUAGCAAACAGG